AUGAACGCUAGCGACAGGCCUAACACAUGCAAGUCGAGGGGCAGCACAAGGAGCAAUCUGAGGUGGCGACCGGCGCACGGGUGAGUAACACGUAUGCAACCUGCCUGUAAGCGGGGAAUAACCCGUUGAAAGACGGACUAAUACCGCAUAAUACUAAAUUACUGCAUGGUAAUUUAUUUAAACAUUUAUGGCUUACAGAUGGGCAUGCGCAUGAUUAGCUAGUUGGAGAGGUAACGGCUCCCCAAGGCAACGAUCAUUAGGGGUUCUGAGAGGAAGGUCCCCCCACACUGGUACUGAGACACGGACCAGACUCCUACGGGAGGCAGCAGUGAGGAAUAUUGGUCAAUGGACGAGAGUCUGAACCAGCCAAGUCGCGUGCAGGAAGAAUUGUCCUAUGGAUUGUAAACUGCUUUUACAGGGGAAUAAAGUGCAUCACGUGUGAUGUUUUGUAUGUACUCUGCGAAUAAGGAUCGGCUAACUCCGUGCCAGCCGCCGC
RNAcentral lists this ribosomal RNA (496 nucleotides) under uncultured bacterium. Its description in RNAcentral is "bacterial SSU rRNA". It matches the Rfam family "Bacterial small subunit ribosomal RNA", at positions 29 to 518 of the family's 1533-position model. The record is from RNAcentral.